Long non-coding RNA from Pseudophryne corroboree (corroboree frog), 483 nucleotides. RefSeq lists it as uncharacterized. Lineage: Eukaryota; Metazoa; Chordata; Amphibia; Anura; Myobatrachidae. The record is from RefSeq and is a predicted model, not a curated record. The transcript has 3 exons.
AUCAGCACUGUGCUGUUGCUGUCUCUCACAUAUGCCUUCAGAGGCCUGGGAUGGCAUAGCACAUUGGCAGAAGUAUCUGGCCCCCCUGGUGAUCCACAGACGCGGCUGUAUGAGGCUUCCGGCAUCUGCAAUUGCCAGGCAACGGAGUGACGUCACCAGACAUGACUCGAUCCCCGGAGCUGCUCGGAUGUCCUGCCCACGGCCUGCGGACGGAAGCCAGCACGAUGGGCCUCUUUCAGAUACAUUUAUAAGAAGGAGGCAUUCUGUUUACAGGAAGAACUGUGCUAAAAUGACCAGUAAAUGCCUGACGCACAUGAUGAAGAGUAUACAGUUCUUCUCUAAAACUCUGUCUAUUGAUUUUGUGAUUGCCCUAGUAAAAUACACUGGACUUAUUGGUCAGUCACAUCCUUCUACAUCCCCACUCAAGUAGGACUAUUAAAACCUGACCUACUGCAUUAAACCAUAAAUAACCUCUAAUGCAAA